Molecule: unclassified non-coding RNA, 345 nt
Filed under: soil metagenome
Description: partial contains 5.8S ribosomal RNA, internal transcribed spacer 2, and large subunit ribosomal RNA
Rfam family: 5.8S ribosomal RNA (bases 1-120)
Source: RNAcentral
GAUGAAGAACGCAGUGAAAUGCGAUACGUAAUGUGAAUUGCAGAAUUCAGUGAAUCAUCGAGUCUUUGAACGCACAUUGCGCCCCCUGGUAUUCCGGGGGGCAUGCCUGUCCGAGCGUCAUUGCUGCCCUCAAGCACGGCUUGUGUGUUGGGCCUCCGUCCUCCUCCCGGGGGACGGGCCCGAAAGGCAGCGGCGGCACCGCGUACGGUCCUCGAGCGUAUGGGGCUUCGUCACCCGCUCUUGUAGGCCCGGCCGGCGCUUGCCGACACAUCAAUCUUUUUUCCAGGUUGACCUCGGAUCAGGUAGGGAUACCCGCUGAACUUAAGCAUAUCAAUAAGCGGAGGA